This 497-nucleotide ribosomal RNA is filed under the name uncultured bacterium. Its description in RNAcentral is "partial 16S ribosomal RNA". It matches the Rfam family "Bacterial small subunit ribosomal RNA", at positions 28 to 507 of the family's 1533-position model. The record is from RNAcentral.
GACGAACGCUGGCGGCGUGCCUAAUACAUGCAAGUUGAGCGAUGAAGAUUGGUGCUUGCACCAAUUUGAAGAGCAGCGAACGGGUGAGUAACGCGUGGGUAAUCUGCCUUUGAGCGGGGGACAACAUUUGGAAACGAAUGCUAAUACCGCAUAACAACUUUAAACAUAAGUUUUAAGUUUGAAAGAUGCAAUUGCAUCACUCAAAGAUGAUCCCGCGUUGUAUUAGCUAGUUGGUGAGGUAAAGGCUCACCAAGGCGAUGAUACAUAGCCGACCUGAGAGGGAGAUCGGCGAAAUUGGGAAUGGGACAAGGCCCAAAAUCCUACGGGAGGCAGCAGUAGGGAAUCUUCGGAAAUGGACGAAAGUCUGACCGAGCAACGCCGCGUGAGUGAAGAAGGUUUUCGGAUCGUAAAACUCUGUUGGUAGAGAAGAAAGUUGGUGAGAGUGGAAAGCUCAUCAAGUGACGGUAACUACACAGAAAGGGACGGCUAACUACGUG